RNAcentral lists this long non-coding RNA (1963 nucleotides) under Homo sapiens (human). Its description in RNAcentral is "HSALNT0310622". Lineage: Eukaryota; Metazoa; Chordata; Mammalia; Primates; Hominidae. The record is from RNAcentral.
AUGAGCCGCCUAGCUCCCUGUCGAGAUUGCCGCCGUCGCGGCUGCUGUCACCGAGGCCGGGUCAUCGGGCCGCGGGGACCUCAAAGCCGAGUGGACGGGAGCCCCAAGUCAUUGCCUAUCCUUCGCCUCCCCAGAGCUGCUGCAACUGUCAGUCACCCACCCGGAACCCCGAGGGGCAACUACCAAGUAGGCCUCGGGGCCCGGAACAAGGGUCCCGGGGCUCAGGAUCUCGGCCGCUGCGCCUCACUCCUGCCCCAGCCCCGCGCACGGAACUCGUUUCCUUCCCACCCAGUUCGGGACACUCCUCUCUGACUUCCCCAGUAGGAUCUCACUUGCAGCGCUACAGCCAGUCCCUCUUCUGGUUCUCACGCACCCACUUAAGGCGGAGUGACUGGCCUAAAAGUCCAAGCUGAUCGUGUGGCUUCCGUUCGUAAAUAUCUCCCCUGGAUCUCCCUCCCUGGAGCCAGACAAGACUCAAAACUCCGAAGGGAAUGCAGUCCCCGCAGGGCGCAAAGGAGAAACUAAUAGUCCAGAGGCGGGGUGAACUUAAAGACCUGGCUUUCAUUAGCGUGGUGUUGUAACAGACUGCCAAGGAGCCUCUGAGGAAAUGGAUUUACGUACAUAUACAUACUCGCCCUUGCCCCUGAAGCAACAUCAAAUACUUUCAUGUUAUUCUUGGGGGCGUUUUAAUUCUUCCGAUCCUCUGAAUUCGUGUUUUUGUACAUCUCUUUCCAACCUGGGCCUACACACUAACAGAAAUAGUUUUUUACAUCGAAGGACAAUGCUUAGUGUUUUAUUCAGUCUCAGCUCUUUUCUUUCUUUUUUCUCGUUGUGUUUCAAAAUGUUUAUUUUUUCUGUCUUGUGAUAGUUUUGGAGGAAAAAUAUUGAAAUAAUUCAAAUCAGGCUCUUAACUCUGCUUUAUUAAAUUUAUAGUCAUAGUAGCCUGUGAGUAUGCUUCGGGGGAGGAAAAAAGAAUGCUGGGGUCUUUAUUCUUCAAGUUCUCUAAGUUUGAUAUUUUGAAUAAACACCCAGAGGUGUCUCUGCCUUUUGUGUGUUAGUAUCUAAUCUUUCCUGCAUUUACGAGUCACUAGUAAAAUGCUAUGAAAGCCAUAGAUCCCAUGGCUCUCACUGUGAUUUUCCUGGGCUGAGUAGGGACUUAGUGAUGUUUAACCCCCAGUAUGCUUUUUAUAGAAGCACCAGCUGAUUCACCAGUGCCCUCCAAAGUGAGCACCUAUCCAUCUCACUCUGGACUCCCAACAGGUCAUACCAGGGAGCUUCGUUGAAAUAGACUUGGCAUUUAAAUUAAAAUGUUUCCCAAAGCAUCUUGGCAGACCUGUAACUAAUGAUGCCAGAGGCCCAAGGCCUGUGCCAGGUUCCCUUUUAUUCCCAUAAGUGCUUGUCUCCCACAAGCCACUGGUCACACGCCUGCUGAUGUUAUAGAAGCACUUCUUCAUCCCACAAACAGCCCAACUGUAGGUACCCUAUCUCAGACAUGGUGAAGGGAAGCAGCAUGUUCCUCUGACAUGUGCGAUGCUUGGCUCCCAACAGGCUUUUUAUAAUAAGCUAAACUCAGAUUUUUUCAUCACAAAUAGCGUAGUAAGUAAUUGUUUUUCCUCAUUCCUGCUUGUCUCUCUGCAGUCACUAAGUGGUUGCUGUCCAUUCCUCAUAUUCCACAAGCAAUAUUAUUGAAGAAAUUGUAAAUAUUUUGCCAAAAUUCUUGCUGAAGUGUUUUCAUGGCAUUGUGAAAUUCGUAGUAGUUGGAGUUAGAAAAAGAGCCAAAAUAUCAUAGUCAUUCCUCAGCGAAUAUUGUCUAAUGGUUCCCUCAGAUUACAUUUCAGAGCAGGGCAAUAAAAGAUAGGCAAGACAUUAAUAAAAUGCCCAUUCUAAAUAGCUCCAUGAUGCUUAUGCCAAUUUAUUUUGUCUGUAUGCAAACGGUUGGAUUCUGGUGAGUAACCUGCUCAUA